This 664-nucleotide long non-coding RNA is filed under the name Homo sapiens (human). Its description in RNAcentral is "HSALNT0078103". The record is from RNAcentral. Lineage: Eukaryota; Metazoa; Chordata; Mammalia; Primates; Hominidae.
GAAGAGGGAGUCAGUUAUUCUUCCUGGGAGCUCUCCUGAAUAGAAUCUAUACACAUUAAUAUCCCAAGUGGAACCAUACACAGAAACAAGGAAAAUGAAGCAACUAAAGCAGUGGUCUUCAACCUUUCCGGCACCAGGGACCAGUAUAGUGGACGGACAUGGUGGGUGGAGGUAGGGGGGCAGUGGAUGAUUUGGGGAUGAAACUGUUCCACCUCAGAUCAUAAGGCAUUAGUUAGAUUUUCAUAAGGAGUGCACAACCCACAACCAUCGCAUAAGCAGUUCAUAAUAGGUUUGCCCUCCGAUGAGACUCUAAUGCUGCUGUUGAUCUGACAGGAGGCGGAGCUCAGACAGUAAUGAUUGUUCACCCAUUGCUCAUCUCCUGCUGUGCAGCCCAGUUCCUAAUAGGUCAGGGACCAGUACCAUGAGAACAUUACUCUCACCCACUGCUCACCUCCUGUUGUGUGGCCCAGGACACUCUCACUUUCAUUUUUUUAUUACAAUUAAUCCUUUUACUUUACACAUAUAUUUUACAUAUACUAUACAUAUUUAUAUGUGUAAAAAUAUAUAUUUUAUAUACAUCUAUAUAAAAUCUGUUACACAUACUAUAUUUAAAUAUACAUGUAUUUAAAACAAACAGAAAGACUGCUCUCUAUCUUUCAAAGGA